Long non-coding RNA from Pangasianodon hypophthalmus (striped catfish), 348 nucleotides. RefSeq lists it as uncharacterized. The record is from RefSeq and is a predicted model, not a curated record. The transcript is spliced from 3 exons. NCBI's taxonomy places the organism in Eukaryota, Metazoa, Chordata, Actinopteri, Siluriformes, Pangasiidae.
GCUUUGGAUCGAUUUCAGAAGGCUGUGGAGAAUAAGAGGUUCAACCUGAUGGUCACGCGGACACGCUGCAUGGCUCAAACUGCUCUAUGAGACAUGCAGGACGUGUAACAAGAUAACGAAGUCCAUUGUAGAUGUUUUGCCCCAUGGAGGUCUUUUAGGACUGUGAGCAACAGCAGAAUUUUCACAGUAUCCUGAGGUCCAAGUUCAAUCAAAUGAAGACCCUAAACCAACAUGACAAGUUACUAACAGAACAUGGUGUAGCUGUUGGAUCCGAGGAAGCAACAGAAGGAGAAUCAACAAGCAACAUGACCACAGUAGUAUCACCAUCAGAACCAUCACAAACGUGAG